GACGAACCGUGCGAACGUUAUUCGGAAUCACUGGGCUUAAAGCGCGUGUAGGCGGGCCGCCACGUCGGGCGCUGAAAUCCCCCGGCUCAACCGGGGAACGGGCACCGAUACGAGCGGCCUGGAGGGGAGUAGGGGGACCUGGAACUUCCGGUGGAGCGGUGAAAUGCGUUGAGAUCGGAAGGAACGCCCGUGGCGAAAGCGAGGUCCUGGGCUCCUGCUGACGCUGAGGUGCGAAAGCGUGGGGAGCAAACAGG
RNAcentral lists this ribosomal RNA (254 nucleotides) under uncultured bacterium. RNAcentral describes it as "partial 16S ribosomal RNA". It matches the Rfam family "Bacterial small subunit ribosomal RNA", at positions 524 to 776 of the family's 1533-position model. The record is from RNAcentral.